This 292-nucleotide ribosomal RNA is filed under the name uncultured bacterium. Its description in RNAcentral is "partial 16S ribosomal RNA". It matches the Rfam family "Bacterial small subunit ribosomal RNA", at positions 505 to 796 of the family's 1533-position model. The record is from RNAcentral.
GUGCCAGCAGCCGCGGUAAUACGGAGGAUCCAAGCGUUAUCCGGAUUUAUUGGGUUUAAAGGGUGCGUAGGCGGCCUGUUAAGUCAGGGGUGAAAGACGGUGGCUCAACCAUCGCAGUGCCCUUGAUACUGAUGGGCUUGAUUUCAGUUGAGGUAGGCGGAAUGUGACAAGUAGCGGUGAAAUGCAUAGAUAUGUCACAGAACACCGAUUGCGAAGGCAGCUUACUAAAGUGAUAAUGACGCUGAGGCACGAAAGCGUGGGGAUCAAACAGGAUUAGAUACCCGCGUAGUCC